UCCAUUUUCUGCAAUCAGGAUAAUGCAGUGCAUUUCAGAGCCAUUUUCAUUUUUGAAGUGCUCUUUCAUCAUUAGCUAAUAAAUGCUCAUCAAUGAAUUUUCCCUCUGCGUCUUGAAAUUUGGAGGAGAAAGAAAAUCGCUUUCUAUUUCGCCCUCCAUCCCCUCCAAUCCUGGCAUCCACCGUCAUUCUGCUUUCAGCUUCUGAGUUCAUCAAGUGACUGUCAACUCGAGUAACACUGAGAUCUGGACAGGCAACAUGAUUCCAGAGAACAGCCUUUCUUUGACCCCUUCAUCCCCCCGAGAACUCAUGCUUGGCUUCCCAGUCCUCUGUCUCCGGUGAAAAACAUGGAGGAUUUGAACAGCAUGUUGCAUUGUUGACUGUCACUGUGUGCCUUGUCUCCAACCAAGGCGAUGAUUUGAGAUGGGGCCAGCCUUCAUCAGCGUCCUCCUCUUUCUAAACCUCAUUCCUUACGCCGAAUACCCUAGAAAAGUAGGGUAACAAAUUUGGCACUUCGGCUGGACUAGGAGGCAAAGGACAAUGGCAGCCCUGGCUUGACCGUCUGAUUUGGAUUUCAAGGGUGUUUGUUCUGAAAUUCCAACAAAAUGACUAAUUUGACUAGACCUGUGGUGAUGUGAGUAUAUGACAGAGAAUUUUGCGGGGGGUGGCAGGGGGAGGAUAAGCUUGCUCCUGACAAAACAGUUUCGUCUUUGGGUUCUGAAAACCCUGGUUGGGAAGGUAGAAGCACCAGUGUUCACUUUGGGGUCAGCGAGUCCUUGCUCAGUACGCUAGGAGAAUUCAUUUGCCUUGAGUGUUUUUCCUUUCAAGUCACGUUUUACUGCUGGAGUUACUCAGCGAAUUAAUAGGUAUAGAAAUGCAAAGCUCUUUUCUUAUUACAUUCUAUCGAUCCGAUUGCAGUGUCAUUAAUUGAAAGACUAGGAAAAUGUGAUGGAUAGUUCUGCUCAAGAUUCUUCAUUCGUUUUGGCCCAGAUCUGUUGGAAGAAACGCUGCAGGAAACUGACUGAAAGAAGCCUUUUGGUCUGACGUGAAUUAUUCUUGCUUGGUCAGUCCUUGUGAGAGCGAGCGAGCAUUUGGUCCUAGUGAGAUUUGCCAUGUGAAAUUAUAAACUGAUUCUACUCUCAGAGGAAAAUCAAAACUCAAGAUGCUUAUUUGCAGAGUUGGAAAGAAUCCGUUUUGUACCUCUCUUUUAUAGAUUACAUAUAUAUGAUGGUACAAAAAAACAAAACAAAAAAACAAAAACAAAAAAUAUCCCCCAGUUUUGAUAGAAACAAAUUUUGACUCUAAGGAAGUGGGCAUUUUGCUCUGUGUUUUAAAUAAUUUCAUUUGGAAUAUUGUGCUUGUGAAGUGUUACUUUCCUUCAUCACCGUCACGCCUGUCUCAUUCUAGUGGGGUGUGAGACUCCAGAGAGUGGUAUGUGGUUAGAAAUUAUUUUUUUAGGGCGGUUUUCUUUUUGGAUUGUUUGACCUACAAUCCCUUGAAUUAGCCCCCUGAAUUUAAAUCAGCUUGAGAAUUUUGCAUGUGUACAACAGAUAGGUCCACAUCCAUAUUUAAAAAGUAUAUCUAAGAUGGAAGACUUAAAAGGAAUCUUUUAAAAUAUCUUAAUCCUGUCUGUGAAUGAGAAAUUCCCAGGCUCAAACAAAAACAUAUCAGAUGAUGUCUAGUUUGUUUGCAAAGGCUGAGCUUGUCUCCUUGCUUUCUGCUUCUGCUUCAGUGAGCUGGGCUAUUUUUCUGUUGUGUUUAUUAUUUUAAAUGUUUGAACUUUGACGUGAAUGGGAGGAAUACUCAAAAUCAAAGCACAUUGACAUGACAGAAAACAUCACUCAUCUCUUGUUUUUAAUAAACGUUGUUGUUUGGAGAAGUUUAGGACAUGUUACUAAUAAUACAUGUCCUGCCAAAUAUAUUUUUUUAAUCCCUCGUCUUUAGUAUUUGAAUGGUCUUUCUCAAGGUGUAAUUUCUUCUCCUGGUUGUGCUUUUGGAUGGCAGGAUAAGUCAUCUGCAGAAAGAUAGGAAGUGAGCAAGUUGCCACGUGGCAUGACCUCAUUUUGGAACACAUCUUGAAAACAUGUUUAAUGCUUUCUGUGCACAGAGACAAUGGAUGAUGGUGUGGGGUCCUCGUAACUGACCUUUAGCUUGGUGAGAAACGUGGGCUGCUUCCUCUGAUCAUCAGCUCCUCUCUGAGUGAAAAAGAGGCGGCUCCCACCUUAGGAAGUAAAUCUUGCUGCUGAGAGCACAGGCUGCCUUACCCCUGGUAUUAUGUCUAAAAAUACAUCCUCAGAGAGGCAGGCAUAUGCUCGCGCAUCAGUGUGAAGGAGCUCUCGCCUUGUUCCUUGUACACCCAUCUAGAUGCUGGAGUGAGGAAUUAAAUUAUCCCAGAAGCCCUGCCAGGUUUUGAUUUGCCAUUGUCUCUGCUUCUUCGCUGCCUGUGAACAGGACCCUUGAUGCAGGGCUUUCAGAGACCAGCCGAUGCUGAUGGGGUCCGUGACUUGCCGGCAGAGCCUGCUCCUUCGGUUGUGUUUGUCUGAGCCAUGCUUUUCUCGCUUUUUGGGGAGGCAGAGAGCCCUGGGCAGAGGUUGCACUUGGCAUAUUUCAGCUCCGUUGUCACUGCUGUGGCUGUUACUCCCCUCGGCGAGAGCCAAGGAGCAACCAGGACGGUGGGUCACCUCGCCAGCUAUUUAGCACCGUUUCCCUUCUCGCUCUAAACACGGUUAGGAUGUUUUCUGUCUUAAGUGACAGGGCUUUUGGGGUGGGGGUGGGGGGUUUCUGAGCCUCCCUUUUUAAUUCCUGCUGUAUCUGGAUAAGGACCUGCUUUCUCCUGAUUUCCAGCACCGUGUCUCAUUCUGAAAGCUUGUUAGAUUCUCCAUCCUUGUUGCUGCAACUCAGUUUUUUAGGGUCUGUUGUUGGGGUUUUCUCUUUGAGUGUUAUCACCAAAUUUCUCAGCUUCCGUAGUUACCUCACAGGUUAAAAUAAAAGGGGUAAAAUGAUUGUGGGUGUCAUUUUGUCCAGGAAGAAAGAAAACAGAAAUUGCUCUGGAGAGAGGUAGUCCUAAGCAGAGGAAUAAAAAGCAGAGGGAAGGUGUUGCUGUUGUGUAGCCCUGCCACAGCUUGGCUGCAGAAUCAUGUGUUCAGGUGAGACUUUGUCUUAUUUGCAGAAGUAGGAAAAAAUAGUCCCCUUCAGGAUAUCGCCCAUAUCUUACUUGGAAAUAAUUUCAAUUCCAACAAGUGCUGAGAAAAGAAAUGUAGCUUUUUAUGCGUCAGAAAAGCAGGGCAAAAUGACAGUAUCCGAAACAAAGGACACCAUUCCCUUUGCAGUUGGUCGUAUUCAAAAGUGAGUAAGAUCAGCUGUUACUUAUACCUCCUCCUUUCUUCGUAACGCUGUUUUGAUGGCCUUGAAAACUGAAAGGCAAAGCAUUUCUUUUCAAAAGGGUUGAUUUUUUGAGGUUUCUGCAAAACGAGAUAAAAGAAUUCUUUAUAUUCUUUAUAUCAUUUCAGAUGGUUAGCAGAAUACAUCCCAUGCUAGUUAUAAUAGAUACAUCCAAUGUAAGCUGGUAUUCACAACCUGUGCAAUUAAAACACACACACACUCCAAAAGAAACUCACCCAGUGUUGAACAAAAUCCAGACUUGAAUUUAAACCAAAAUAAUUUUACCUAUUGUGGAGAAGAAUUAGUCUUGUUAUAUGCUUUUCUAUGACUGAAUAUUUCCCUCUUUUCAUCAUUACUUUAUUAGUUUUUUUCAUAAAAGCCGCUAAAAUGGACAAAGAACUCUACCACAUAGUUAAAUUUUAGUGGCAGUUAAUUGAAAUGGAGCAUGGAUCAAAUGUCAUCAACUCUUGUCACCAGGUAUUUCCUUUAGGUUCAGCUUAAUACAUUUUAUUCCCAUUGGUGCCAAAGAAACAUCUAUGCCUUUAGACACUGGUACCUAAUUAUGCAGCUGGAUACAUUAAUAGCCUAUAAUAUUACAUAGACUUGAGAUUUAAACAGGAAAAGGUGCUGUUCUUUGUAGCCAGCAAGUUGUGUGAUCCUGAUGCUGUGGGUAUUUGCUGGUAUUUCUACCUUUGUUCCUUCAGAAGCAGUGAGGUUCUCAGUCAUUGCUGACUAACUGAUAGUUGUAGUAACUGCUGUAGGCUCCUUAAAUUAGAAAUGCAUGCAGACAUGGGUCUUUAUUCAGACACUAAGGAAUGCACUCUCACUUACUUCCACGGACAGAAAGCCUUCAUGCUAAGAGGUGCGGUGGAAGCUGCAGGCCAGAAAGCAGAAGAGAGAGAGAGAGAGAUGGCUGGCUGGUAGCAAGUAUACCCCUGCAAACAUUUCUAAAAUGCGUGUGCAAAUGCAGAAGCCUUCAGAACCAUCCAACAAUUCAGACACCUUUUUUAUUUCUUCUCUGCGGGAUGCCUCCAUCCAGGCUAUUUGAAAAAUAAAAAAAAAAAAAAA
Molecule: long non-coding RNA, 4447 nt
Filed under: Sus scrofa (pig)
Lineage: Eukaryota; Metazoa; Chordata; Mammalia; Artiodactyla; Suidae
Description: lncRNA (ENSSSCG00065025729.1)
Source: RNAcentral